ACAAGAAAAAUGUCUGCGGCCGGUUGCGCACCAUUUUAUCUUGUACUAAUGUUUAUUUGUAAUAAAUAAACUACUUCCAUUUAAUUCUACAUACAUUGAUAACGUUGAGUCGAGCUUGCUCCUCCGUUGCUGUGUUUUGGUGAAAUUAAGUGUGUAUUUGUGAGAUAUAGACUCGGUGUUGAGACAGUGACUUGUUUGAUUUUGUUUUGUGUUUAAUUCGCGAUGAGUUCACAAAAAGAAAACACAAGAAUCUGCUGCUUGUGUGGAUCUUCACCUUCUAAAGAUCCCAGCAUCACUUUGCAUCGGUUUCCAAAGCCUGGCACUAAAAAUGCUCUGCGUUGUGAAUUAUGGGCAAAGUAUUGCUUCCCAAACGAAGCCUGGUCUUCACCAAAAUUCCAGGACGCACUCCAUAAACAACAUAAGAUGCUAUGCAGCAAACAUUUCAAAAGCACAUGCUUUAAUGAGAAGAAGUUGUUCAGAACAGCUGUACCUGAUGUUUGUAAAUAUCAAAAUAUAAUUGGUCUAGUGUCUUUCUCUUCCUAAUCAUUUCUAUAAUAAAGAAGAAAUAACACCAACGUUUAUUACACAAUAUGAUAGAAUAAUUUAAACCAUGUCUGUAAACUUGUUGUUUGUUAAACAAAUCGAUAGUAUUCUUUAUUGUAUAAUAACAUAGUCUUGUUUUUUAUAAUAGUAACACUUUAAAACUAACUAGAAUUUUUGUUUGUUUAUGUUUUGAUGUUGAAAUUGUAUGCAAUAGGCCCAUCCAUACUUGUUAUUUUGGACGAAAAUGUCUGAAAUACCUACCUAAAUUGAUUAAAUUCAUGUAUUUUAAAAUUCAUUACA
Molecule: long non-coding RNA, 843 nt
Organism: Helicoverpa armigera (cotton bollworm)
Lineage: Eukaryota; Metazoa; Arthropoda; Insecta; Lepidoptera; Noctuidae
Exons: 2
Source: RefSeq, a predicted model, not a curated record